AACAUAAAUAAAAUCUAUGUUACGGCCAUAGAUAUGAUAAAAUUUUAUCUUAUGUUU
This 57-nucleotide transfer RNA is filed under the name Rhinebothrium sp. BT-2021. Its description in RNAcentral is "Rhinebothrium sp. MZUSP 8032 tRNA-Arg". Lineage: Eukaryota; Metazoa; Platyhelminthes; Cestoda; Rhinebothriidea; Rhinebothriidae. The record is from RNAcentral.